This is a ribosomal RNA of Trichoderma atroviride IMI 206040, 120 nucleotides long. Lineage: Eukaryota; Fungi; Ascomycota; Sordariomycetes; Hypocreales; Hypocreaceae. The record is from Rfam.
ACAUACGACCAUAGGUAAUGGAAAAUUCGGGGUCCCGUCUGCUCCCCCAUAGACAAGCCAUUAACCGGCAGAUUAGUAGUUGAGUGGCUGACCAUCAGCGAACACCGGCUGUUGUAUGUU